This 732-nucleotide long non-coding RNA is filed under the name Bos taurus (domestic cattle). RNAcentral describes it as "long non-coding RNA NONBTAT017516". Lineage: Eukaryota; Metazoa; Chordata; Mammalia; Artiodactyla; Bovidae. The record is from RNAcentral.
GGAGUUCAUCCAGGGAGACUAAAUCAAUAGUUUUGAAGACUUGAGGCAAACAGUACAGUGUUCUCAAUGGAACAGAAGAAUCUCCUCCAACAUUAUGUAUAGAACUUGAUGGUCAGUAGGUGUUCUUGAAUUAGCUGACUUGUAACCAUACAUAGCUGUUUGAAAUCUCGCUUUUUAGCAUUCUCACCCAUCCAUGAUAUAGUCCAUGUCUCUGCUAGUUUCCUUUAGCUUGUGCACUCAGCCUGUUGGUUUUACUUAAAGGUGAGCUGCUUUUGUCCCUUUGUCUCAGGUUCUUUAUUAUUACAUCUUACUAAGAAGCUCUGUGAUCUGGUUUUGAAGGCCUUGCCAAGUUAGCUACAGAAAGCACAGGAGUCCCAUCAUAUUUAAUGUCAGGACAAACAGCCUUAUGUUCAGUUAUACUAGGGUAUUUUAAGACUUACAUCAGUGAGAUAUAUAAACCCUUAGUUAUUUGAAAAAAAAAAGAAAAAGGUAACUCUUUUCUGUUACCUGUUUAAGAAAUAGGAGCAAUGACAUGACUUUGAGAUAAGUCAGAAUGGUGUUCCUAAAGGUGUACCUGUGUACCCAGGAAGCAGCCUUCCAAGACAAUUUAUGAAUCAGGUGCUUCAAUUGUGGGUGAGAUUUAGAACUGAUGUUAAGACUUGACUUACUGUAUGUAAAUACAUGAUUUAUAUACAGAAUUCCUUCCUAGUGGAAGAGGUUGUUCUAAGGUGG